AUAUAUAUAUAUAUAUAUAUAUAUAUAUAUAUAUAUAUAUGCAAUCACUUUAGAUAUUUUUAGAAUCCUAUUUUUAGGAUUUUUAGGAUUUUUUUGGAAGAUUUUUACCUCAUUUUUUGAAAAUAUUUACAAGAAUUUUCUCGCCAAAUUUGGGGGAUUUUUUUCUUGAAAAUGUGGGCAUCAGAAGUUUCACUGUGAAAAUCUUUUUUUUUUCUCCACAUUUUCAAACUUUAAAACGGGUCAGUUUGACCCGCAGGAGACACGAGGGUUAAAUGAAACUUUUAAGGUAAACUUUUAAGGAAUUAUUGGAAUUUUCUUCCUGAAAGUUUUGCGUAUUUUCUGAAAUUUGGGGAAUUUUUUUGCUGAUUUUUUUCAGAAAAGGAAACAUGUGUCCGUGUGUGUGUGUGUGUGUGCGUGCGUGCGUGCGUGCGUGCGUGCGUGCGUGCGUGCGUGCGUGUGUGUGUUUAUGCGACUCAUUCCAUAUCAUUUGAACAGAAACUUCAGUUCGUGUUCGUUCGUUUGCAGCGUUUAUCCGAGAAGAGAAUAGAAAAAUCUGAGCCAUAUUCAAUGCAAUAUGAAUAGAUGACAUCUCUUUUGCAUUUCUCUAUUAAUCGUUUACAUUACAUUAAUGUUUGAACAUAGUCGACCAUUUAGCACCGAGGAGUAUUGAAUGUGCAAUUUUACUUCAGUGCUGGUUGGGUUUAUGAUUGUCUUGGGUUUUUUUUUCUUUUGCGUGCAUGUAUGUCAGUGCUUUGAGGUUUCUUUUGGUAUAACCUGUUGUAAACUAAAUUCAUAUUUACGGUAGGAAAUGCUUCCCAAGUAUUUGCAGGGACUAAAAGAGGAGCCAUCGUAGAAGUCGGGCUGCAAAAACACAGCAUCAGUGUUACUUGUUUCUUCUUUUUCUGUCAAAAUUUAGCGAUUUUCAUCAUUUAAUCCUUUACGAACCGACACUUGAAUCGAAAGAAAGCAUGUACAAUAUCUCUUUGAGUCAAUUAUACAAACAAAAGUUUGAAUUCUAUAUUGUGAAAGUAAAAUAAACUUAGACUUUGACUACAAACUCAGGAAGAAUUUCAUAUAUAGUCAAAUUAAUGUUUUAAAUUCUCCCCGUUUAAGCGAGUAGUUUCUGUUCUGAACUUGAAGACUUUAGGAAACAUUAAAACUUUGUGAUUGCAGACUGCCUUACUUUCAUGGACUCCAUAGACUCACCCACAGUUGGACCAGUGGGUGACGCUACCGUUUGUCACCCACUGGUUCUAUUGUGGGCAAAUGUGACCAAUCAGGGCUGGAUCUGACUGAGAACUCAGAGACUCUAUUCACAGUGAUAGAACAGCGACCAACAGUAACUCUAUCGUCUUUUUUUCACUAAAUGGGACCAGAAUUUACUGAAUGAACAUCAUGGAGUCUUCAGAAAGACUUCAGACUCGCAGUUUAGAGCGUAAACUCAUGAAGAAAAUGUUUAGUGAGGGAACAAAGAAGUGAGAAAAAAGGUCGUUUUCUCAUAGACUUCUGUACAAUCUGACUUCUUUUGACAACCAGAGGAGUCGCCCCCUGCUGGCUGUUAGAAAGAAUGCAGCUUUAAGGUGGCGGGACUGGGGCCGGGUCGUGGAUUCAGCAUCCCAAGAGACAAACAGUCAUUAGCUCACACUGAAACACAACUCAGUAGGAAAAUACCGGCAAAAAUGUAAAACUGUAAGUCUGUCUUAAGCUUGGGAGCCGUAAUGAAGCUAGCGAAUGUAGCAUAAUCCAACGUGGCAGCAAACGUAAACAAAGCCGUCUGAUAGCGCCGCGUGACGACGUAUUCAUGUGCUCCACUCGCCAAAAGUUUCACAUAACCAGUUCUGAGGUAACGAUGAAAUGCCAUAAAUUGAGGACGUCGUAAACCGAGGACCUCCUGUACAAGAUCUAAUGUUUCUUGAUCCAUUUAGGCGUUCUUUUUUUUAAAACCCUGCUCUAUUUUUUCUACCGUAGAGGCUAAUCCAAUGCUUGAAGCCCCUGAAAUGUUUCACCAGGACUUAAAUAACUCAUGCGCCGACAAACUUCAUCGCAUGUGAUGAAGACAGCCCGAGACAUUAGCUUGUGUUUCAAUAAUCUCUGCAUUUAUUGCUCCACAGCAGUCAUAAUCCAACAUUCUUCAUCUCAAACAAACAAUUCACCACCACCGUUCACAACUGUUCUACCUUCCAGGCGGAAACACCUGCCCAGACAAAGAUUGGUUCUUACUUAUAACGUAGCACUCAUUGGCUCCUACAUCUACAUUGAGGUGUGCUGUUAUGUUAGCGCCACCUAGCACAGGAAACAACCUCUAACUGCAGCAGAAUCAGUAUUAUCGCUAAAAUUGUCGUUUCCAUUUCAUAUUUAAGGUUGGUCAUGAGUUUGGUACAUGCUGAUAACGAACAUGUUUUCUCACUCUACUUAGCUGUAUGGAAAAUGACGCUUAAGACAGAAAGGUUGAUCAAACCUGUAGGCGAGGUGUUAAUGCUCUCAUUUAUGGGGAUUGAAUUAAAAUAUACCUAAAAGACAUACAGUUGUUUAAACAUUUUCUGCCUGAUAUAAAGUAAAAUAACAUGUUGACUGAUAAAAAGUGAAGUAAUGAUGGUCCUAAACUAAACAUUUUAAUCCUAAACAGUCUUUUGAUUAAAAAAAUAUGGAAAAUUGUCCUAAUUUCAUGAAUAAACAGACAUUUUUAGCCUUUAUAGCAGCUUUACCAGUAAAGUAUUUGUGUUUUAUGAUGGAGACUUCUGCGAUGGCUGCUACCGUCCACUGUCCGACACCUAGACCUUCCUCUGGGCAUUAUAAAAUAGACAAAAUGUGUAUAAAUGAACUCCUGAACUGUCUGUGAAUGGUGACGACAUUUUCUAUGAAGUGUGCUAAUAAGCUAACCCGUUCUGAACGACAAACUCACGCUUCUGAUCUUUCUAUUGAGUAGAAACACGACUUUGUAUUAAAUUGUCUCUCAUCAGCGGUGGUUAUGCAUGGCAUUUUCUUACCUCCUUGCGAUUAUUUUCUAGUAACGGCAUAAAAAAUGGCAUUAUUGUUGUUUAAACUAUUAAUUCUUAUAGUUUUAAAUGAUUUCUAUCUGAGUUUCUUCAAAGGUUGGGCAUGUCUUGGGUGUGUUUUGUUCCUUUUGCUUUUGUAUUUCUUUUUCUGCUGAUGAUGAUGGGAUUACUUGAAGUUGUUUUAUUUUAUUCAUUUGUUAAAAGAAGAUGCCUUACUGUUCAGGAUUACAAAAUUUUUAUUCUUUUUUUUAAAGAGAAUAAACAUCAGCAGACUGACUCCGAGCCACAGAUUUAUUAAAGUUAGAUUAGUUUAGUAAAUGUAAAGUUCAUCAAUGCAGAACAGAAUAAUUCAUCAAAAAGGACCAUAUAUUAUAUACUGGUACUAUAUUCAUAAACAUUAUCUCAAUAUGCUAACAGCCAUGCUAACAGCUCUGUGAGACUGUAACUGGUUAGAGCUAAAUGCAAGCUAUAGCAUAGCAUGCUAACCUUCUCACAGUAUUAAUAAAUGUUGAUGUUUAGCAAACAUGUUCACCAUCUUUGCCUAGCAUGCUAACUGCUCAGUUAAGCUGAGCAGUUAACUGCUAACAUGCUAGCUACAAUAAUGCUAACAUGUUGAUGUAUAGCAAAUAGAAGGUCAGAAUCUUUGUUUAGCAUGCUAACAUGCUGAUGUUUAGCCAAUGUGUUUGCAGUCUUUGCUUUGCCCAGUAACCUGCUCAAAAUGACAAUGCUAACAUGAUGAUGUUAAGCAGACAUGUUUGCUAACAUUGCUUAGCAUGCUAACAUGCUGGCAUUGCUUAGCAUACAAACAUGCUUGCAACAACAAUGCAAAUAUUUAAUGUUAAGCAAACAUGUUGACCGUCUUUGCUUAGCUUGUUAACAUGCUAAUAUUAAGCAGAUAUAAUGCUUACCAUCUUUGUUUAGCAUGCUAACAUGCUCACAACAACAAUGCUAACAUGUUGAUGUAAAGCAGACAUGUUUGCUAACGAUGUUUAGCAUGUUAGCAUGCUUGUAGCAACAUUGCUAAUAUUUUGAUGUUUAGCAAGUAUUUUUACCGUCUUUGUUUAGCAUGCUAACAUUCAUGCUCAAAGAAUGUUAAUAUUUACCAGAUACACACACACACACACACACACACACACACACACACACACACACACACACACACACACGCAGGUAGUCAUCAAAUGUUUCACUCAACAUCCCGAAUAUUAACUUCCUAAAAGAGGUACAUCCUCUGAUGAUUAUGAACGUCUGCUCUGAAUGACAUCUAACAGCUGUUAAGAUGUUUCGGUCUGAGCGGUGAACUGAUAAUAGAAUAAAAUAAUACUUUAUUGAUAAUUUACAGACUUGUAACAGCAGCAUGUCGACACGUCGAUGACCCACAAAACCGACAGAACAAGAAUAGUCAUCAGUACGAGCACAUACACGGUAUAUAAGGUAGAAAAAAUAUGAUAAAAGUUAAAACAUAUGUCGGGAAAAUUGUUAACUUCUCUAAAUUAAAACUCAGAGUCGUCUCUCAAAUCAAAGUAAACAGACCCCAGUCUGAUAAAAGUGACUGAUAAAAGCCUUUAUACAGGCACAUUAGCAGGAGGGACACAUCUUGGUGUGAUAUCUCUAGUUUGAGUUAUAAACCACACAGUUAAAUAGUAUUACAAUGAAUAAGAACAUUUAAUCAUAAAACAUAAUCAUUUACAUAACAGCACAGCAUAGAACACAUAAAUUAAAAUAUAAAAGCCUGAUUGGUGGACGGGCGCUAAGCUGUUAGCAUGGCUAAAGCAUACAGACACAGUUUAACCCUCCUGUUGUCCUCAUCUAACAGCACCAAAAAAAUAUUUUCUUGUCCGAAAAAAUCCAAAAAUUCAGCAAAAAAAUUCCCCAAAUUUCUGAAAAUUUGCAAAACCUUGAAAAUUUGCAAAACUUUCAGGAAGAAAUUUCCAAUAAUUCCUUAAAAGUUUUAUUUUUAAAAAAUAAUCCCUCAAAUUUGGCAAGAAAAUUCUUGUAAAUAUUUUCAAAAAAUGAUAAAAAUCUUCCCAAAAAAAUCCUAAAAAUAUCUAAAGUGAUUCCAUAUAUAUCAGUAAAACUUCUAAUAUUUUCUUUAAGAACAUUCAUUUUUUUUGUGUGAAUGUUCUUAAGAAGGGCUGCACAGUGGCGUAGUGGUUAGCACUUUCGCCUUGCAGCAAGAAGGUCCCUGGUUCGCGUCCCGGCUUUCCCGGGAUCUUUCUGCAUGGAGUUUGCAUGUUCUCCCUGUGCAUGCGUGGGUUCUCUCCGGGUACUCCGGCUUCCUCCCACAGUCCAAAAAUAUGCUGAGGUUAAUUGAUCAUUCUAAAUUGCCCGUAGGUGUGAAUGUGAGAGUGCUUGUUUGUCUAUAUAUGUAGCCCUGCGACAGACUGGCGACCUGUCCAGGGUGUCCCCUGCCUUCACCUGAGUCAGCUGGGAUAGGCUCCAGCCCCCCCCGCGACCCUAGUGAGGAUUAAGCGGUGUAUAGAUAAUGGAUGGAUGGAUGUUCUUAAGAAACAUUUUUGACAUUUUUUUUCCACCAAAAAUGUUCAAAAAUUUACCAAAAAUGUUAAAAAUGUGGACAUCAGAAGUUUCACUGUGAAAAUAUUUUUUUUCCCCACAUUUUCAAAGUUGAAAACGGGUCGAUUUUGACCCGCAGGACGACACGAGGGUUAAAUAGAAGCAUUAAAAACAUCAAACCAGAACAUGUUCAGUCAUAAUAUUUUUUAUUCCAGCCAUCACCAGGAAGUUCUACUAAGAAUAUACAGACACAUGAUUAUCCUCAGCACCAGACGGGUGGAGUUAAACCAUCAUCUGGACUCUUUUCAGUCUUUCUGGCACCUUUUGUGGGUUUGAAGAUUAUAUUUACCCGAGUGGAUCUUUCUGAAGCUCUGUGUAAACGUCUCACAGCCGGUGAGUAACAUGAAGAAAUACACGAAUAAAUAUGUAAUAUUGAUAGAUUAAACUUGUCUUUUAAGUCACUGUGUAAUCCAAAUGGAAAGAUACAGUCAAGACAUGUUUGGAUUUAAAGGGUUAAAAGUGAUGUUUGUUUUUAGGAUGAUUGUUUUCAGGUUUGGAAAGACGCCUUAAAUGUGUACACUGGAUUCUCAUCAGACAACUUUUAGUAAUUACAGAGUAUUAAAUUCAUGUCUGUAAAUUAAUAUUGACUGUUACUUCAGAGCGUGUAGAGCUAUAUGUGUGUUUGUUCUAAUAACCCAACUUGCUACUCGGAAGCCUUUACUGCCAUUAGAAACAGUUUUUAUUCCUCCAUACCUGCCUAUAUACGAUGAUAUUUUCUGUGAAAAGUGAGUCAGAAGCUUCAUGUUCAGUAAUUCUGUGCAUUCAGAUGCAAAGGAGCUCAAAAGGCCUUACUGUUCAGGAUUACAACAUUUUUAUUCUUUUUUAAAAGAGAAUAAACAUCAGCAGACUGACUCCAAGUCGCAGAUGUAGUAAAAUUAGAUUAAUUUAGUAAAUUUAGAGUUCAUAUGCCAACAUAAAUAUGCUAACAGCCAUGCUAACAGCUCUGUGAGACUGUAACUGGUUAGAGCUAAAUGCAAGCUAUAGCAUAGCAUGCUAACCUCCUCACAGUAUUAAUGCUAACAUGUUGAUGUUUAACAAAUAUGCUUACCAUCUUUGCUUAGCAUGCUAACAUGCUCACAGCAUAAAUGCUAACAUGUUGAUGGGUCACAGAUAUAAGGUCUUUGUUUAGCAUGCUAACAUGCUCACAACAACAAUGCUAACAUGUUGAUGUGUAGCAAAUAGAAAGUUAGAAUCUUUGUAUAGCAUGCUAACAUGCUGACACUUAGCCAGCGUGUUUGCAAUCUUUGCCCAGUAGCCUGCUCAAAAUGACAAUGCUAACAUGAUGAUGGGUCACAGAUAUAAGGUCUUUGUUUAGCAUGCUAACAUGCUGACGUUUAGCCAACAUGUUUGCAGUCUUUGCUUUGCUCCAUAACCUGCUCAAAAUGACAAUGCUAACAUGAUGAUGUUAAGCAGACAUGUUUGCUAACAUUGCUUAGCCUGCUAACAUGAUAGUAAUAACAAUGCUAAUAUUUUGAUGUUAAGCAAAUAUUUUUAUCAUCUUUGCUUAGCUUGUUAACAUGUUAAUAUUAAGCAUAUAUAAUGCUUACCAUUGUUUCUUAGCAUGCUAACAUGCUUGUAACAGCAAUGCUAAUAUUGUGAUAGUAAGCAAAUAUUUUUAGCAUCAUUGCUUAACUUGCUAACAUGUUCAAGUGAAGUCAAGUUUGCUUUAUUUUCUCCCAUGGGAGAAAUUUCUUAGACAAGGUAAAAUGACAAAUUUCUAAAAAUUUUUAAUAUUAAGCAGAUAUAAUGCUUACCAUCUUUGCUUCGCAUGCUAACAUGCUCACAACAACAGUACUAACAUGUUGAUGUGUAGCAAAUAUAAGGUUAGAAUCUUUGUUUAGCAUGCUAACAUGCUGAUGUUUAGCCCACAUGUUUGCAAUCUUUGCUUUGCCCAGUAACCUGCUCAAAAUGACAAUGCUAACAUGUUGAUGUUAAGCAGACACAUUUGCUAAUGUUGCUUAGCCUGCUAACGUGAUUGUAACAACAAUGCUAAUAUUUUGAUGUUAAGCAAAUAUGUUGACCAUCUUUGCUUAGCUUGUAGACAUGCUCACAACAACAAUGCUAACAUGUUGAUGUGUAGCCAAUAUAAGGUUAGAAUCUUUGCUUAGCAUGCUAACAUGCUAACAUUUUUUCAAGUGAGUCAGGACCUUCAUAUUUAGGCUGAUUGCUGCUGUAGUGAAACAUGUUUCUGCUGGCUGUUAGCCCUCUGACCUACAUUACUGUGUAAAGAGAAAAAACAAACUGUGACGUAGAGAUUUGUCAGAUGUCUGUGAAGUCAAACAGUCGCUGAGUCACAUCUGGGAGUUUCCUGAAGCAGCAAACGGCUCCACUGAGUCGCUGUUUGGAGUUUUACCGUCUGUCUUUCUCAACCGACAGAAUAUUUUUUUAACAUUUCUUUCUUCACCUGUAAAUUAAGUUCAGAGUUGCCGUUAAAACAUUCGUAACCUUUGAAAAGGUUCCGAUUAGCUGCUAAAUGGACGCUGUGGUGAGAUGUUUAAAUAGUCAGAGGGAACUUUCAGAGUUUAUCAGACAAACACAGCUGGAAAUUCCAAACUUCAGUGUAAAUAACAAGUCAGCUGACAACAAAUGACACAAAAGAGACACAAAACAACAAAAAUGAAACAAAACGACAAAAACAAGGCAAAAAAUGACAAAAAUUAGACAAAAAUGACAAAAAAACAGACACAAAACAACAAAAAUGAGACAAAAUGUGAAAAAUGAGACAAAGAAUACCAAAAACAAGAAAAAAAAUGUAAAAUUAGCAAAAAAAUUUAAAAAAAGAGACACAAAACAACAAAAACAAGACACAAAGCAAUAAAAGCUAGACAGAAAACAACAAAAACGACAUACAACAUGACAAAAAUGAGACAAAAAUGCUAAAAUUAGACAAAAAAAUGACAGAACGACAAACAACAAAAAUGAGACACAAAAUGCCAAAAAUUACACAAAAAAUUACAAAAAAGAGAUGCAAAACAACAAAAAUGAGACAAAAAAAUCCAAAAAAUUUGACAAAAAAUGACAAAAAUUAGACAAAAAAUGACAAAAAGACAGAAAACGAGAAACAAUACAACAAAAAUGAGACAAAAAAAUGACAAGAAAGACACAACAUAAAAGAGACAAAACAACAAAAACGAGACACAAAGCAACAAAAAUGAGACACAAAAUGACAAAAAUUAGACAAAAAUGCCAAAAAUUUGACCAAAAAAUGACAAUGAGACAAAAAAUGCAAAAACAAGACAAAAAAUUUGACAAAAAAUGUCAGAAGCGUCAGAAAACAACAAAAACGAGACACAAAAUGACAAAAACAAGACAAACAGCCUUGAUAAAUCCACUUUAUUUGUACCUGUAAAAAGAUGCAUUAUUUUCUAGCAGCCCUUCAUUGUGUCGAUCAUUUUAAACUUUUUUUUGACCCUAUUUGUGUCAUUUGAGCAGCUUUGAGAGGCCUGAAGGGUUCAAACAUUCAGUAAAUCACUAGAAACAGAGUCAUCCAUCAUCUGUGGGACCCGCUGACAUUAACGGCCAAAUCACAUCCUGAAAGUCAAACGUUGGCUCUGUUUUAACAUCAGAGUGUUUGCGAGGCUUUGGGUUUAACGUACCGAUGAAUACUGAGUCCAAAUCAUUUACUGGUCUGUGUCACAUUACUGGUUUAUGAGUCACUCUACAGACGUCUCAUCACAUCUAAAGGUGAUUUCUGUGGGAAACAAGUCCAGAUCUGUUGGAAACAACGAAGACGCUGUGGAUUUUAUUCCAGAACGUUCUUCAGUCACCUCAGUUUUAAAUGCCAGUGAAGUUUCAAACUUCCUCCUGAUUAUUUUCUUUUUUUCUUCCUCUUUUCUGGCAGCCCUCAGCUGGUAAACAGGGUGAAUUUAUCACAUCAGUCAAAACGAAACCUGCUUUCAUUUUUCUGUUUUUUUCUAGAAGUGUUUCUGUGACGUUUUAAAAAAUCCCUACUGUUUACUUUUUGUUUUCCAGACAUAAAAAACAAAAACCGGUAUAUAAAUCUGAGAGAUGGUAAAGCACGUCAGAUUGUAUAUUUGUUUAAAAAUUUAAGACACAAAACAACAAAAAAAUGAGACAAAAGAUGCCAAAAACAAGGCAAAAAAUGCCAAAUAUUUUUUAAAAAAUAACAAAAAAGAGGCACAGAACAACAAAAAUGAGACACAAAACAAGAAAAACAAGACAGAAAACGACAAAAAUUUAACAAAAAAUGCCAAAAACGACAGAAAAUUACAAAAAAGAGACACAUAACAAAGCAACAAAAACAAGACAGAAAAUGCCAAAAAAUAGACAAAAAAAUGACAAAAAAGAGACACAAACUGACAAAAGAGACACAAACAAAAAGGAGACACAAAACAAAACGACAAAAACGAGACACAAAAUGACAAAAACAAGAUUAAAAAUGACAAAAAAGAGACACAAUUUUUAGAAUAAAUAAGUUGGAACCUUCUUUUUUUUGGUUGCUUUGUCACUUUCUAUCUCUUUCACUUUCAGUGUGAAAUCUCAGCUGGUUUGUGUUGUUCAGAGAAAUGUCACAUGAUGAGAAGGUUUGGUGGUUACCUGUGAUUACCAGUUUUGUACACAAACGUACGUCAGCGGUUUCAUCAUCAGCGUCUGACGUCAUGACGCACAGCUGCUGAUAUAGAACCCGGAACCAGAUGAGUGGAGCGCAGUAACCGGCAGGACCUGAGGGAGCUGCGGAGGAUAUUUAUCUUCAUUUACUGUCUUUUUGGCCAUUUCAACCUGAACCAGGAUGGCGAACGGACACGUGGAAAUCCACGACCUGUUGUCCGCCCACCACAGCCCCUCCAGCUGCUCAGACCCUGAAUCCACCUCAGACAGCGACAGAAUGGACGACACGGUGGAGUUCAGGAUCAUGAUGGCGUUCGCCAAGAGGAGACGACCUCAACAGCAGCAGCAGCAGGAUUCAAAUCCAGACGACGGACCAGUGAAGGAUAGCAGAGAUGCUAACGGAACGACGACUCCAUCCCAGACACCAGAGAAGACUGAGGGGAAGAAGAAGAGGAAGAAGAAGGGAUGGAAACGUCUGUCGAGCAUUUUGAGAUGUGUCAAACCUCAGACUGAAGACCCAGAACCACAGCCAACGCCUCGACCCAACGGAAACUUCAGGAGUUUGGAUCCUAGAACCAAUGAGCGACUGGUAGUGGACUCACACGAACCCGAUGAGGUUAAAGAUGACGAUCAUUUGGCCGAGGCAGUGAGCAGACUGACGGAGAUCGCUGAAGAAAUCCCGUUCACUCCUCCAGAAUGGGAGACGGACUCCAGAGACGGUGAGGUGGAGAAGAUUAUCGGUCUGAUUCUGAGGGAAAGUGGAGACAGACUGAAUGAGAAGGAGCUGAAGAACGCCAACAUCGCAGCAGAACUCUUCUGGAACUACAGCUUCUUUAGGGAGCUAAUAAAUAGACUGCUCAUGAGGAUGGGCCUCAGGAGCCCCGACCCCGACGCUCUGGGGCCUCAAGCAUCACCCAAAACCCAGAUCGCUGUGACCUGUGAGGUGACAACAGCUGUCCUUAAAACACAACUUCCAGUACUUCCCUCUUUGAUAGGAAACAACUUCUAUUUCAGAUCAGUAGCGACUUACAGCAGCAGACUCUAAACUUCAUUGCACCACGAACCGGAAUGACAAAAACGAGACACAACAUGACAAAAAUGAGACAGGAAGACGAUCUAGUCAUUUUUCAAAAUAAAACACCCUGCAGACUCCACCAGAAAUGAAAUGUAAAAUAAAUGGUUUUUAUUCUCUCUGGUGGUUGGAGACUUAAAGGACUCUGAAACUUUACGAGGCAAAGAUCAGAGAAGUAAAAAAACAUCCUGUUACCAGUAGAAACCUCCGAGUUUAGAGUCACCGCUGAGCUUUCACGUCUUCAUCACCUCCCAGUCUGGUGAAUCAUGGUCUUUGAAACGUUUCUGUUCCUCGUCAGGUCACCAGUCGUCUCUCUGAGGUGAACUCUCUGCCCAGGAACCUCCUGAUGCGCCACGGAGCCCGAUACCUGCAGGACUACUACUCCACCUGGGCUCAGCAGCAGGGCGGAUACGAGGCAGCCUUUGAGGGAGACGAGGAUGAAGUGGAGUGAACCGGACCAGGUCUUCCAGCUCCACAGCGCCUCCUGCAGGCCGUCACAGAAGCAGCAUUAGGAGUCCUACAGAGUGUGGAGAACACAGAACAGGAGCUUUGUGUUUUCAUUCAGACAGAUCAGUUUACACAGAACACGUCUGCAGCCGUGAGCUUUAAAACAAACAAUCAUGUGCUGUCAGGGGCCACGAGACGAUGAAUAAAUUAUUUUUGUACCGUUAUAACCUCUGUGAUUAAGGUUGUCUUGACUUUUUGAAAUCAUCAUUAUUUGCUUUGUAGUUAGAAAGAAGAAAAGUAUAGCUCAGCACUUGCACUUUUAAGAUCACGGAAAAUAGAUGUAAAAUAGAAGUGGUGUUGUUUGUGUUGUUUCUAAGGGACCACUGUGUGUACUGUUGUUGUUGUUUAGACAUAAAUGUAAAUGAAAACACAGAUUUUUAGUCUGUGGAUUGUUUGUGUGAACAUUUUUAGCACAAUACAUCCUGUCAGUUUUCAUAUGAAGUGCAGAAAUGUGUCUAAAAACUGCCUAAAUGCUACUUUUUUGUGUUUUUUCUGUUAUAGUUUAAUGAUUGAGCUCAGAUGAAAACGGCACCACCCUGUGGCCAAAUGUGGAACUGAUUCAAACAACCCCAAUUCAAAUUAGAUUAAUUAAUAAAUGUUGUUUACUUUAUGGAUAUAUUGACAUGUUUUACUCUUGUGAUAAGUUGUUGUAUUUAUUUUAAUAAAUUCAGCAUAAAGUGAACAAAUCCAAGGAUUGGAAAUUUGGAAACGACAAAAACUAGACACAAAAUGACAGAACUGAUACACAAUGACAAAACCGAGACACAAAACGACAAAACUGAGACACAAAAUGACAUAAACGAGACAGAACGACAAAACCGAAACAAAAUGACAAAAACGAGACUCAAACUGACAAAAACGAGACAAAAAUGACAAAAGACUCAAAGUGACAAAAAUGAGACACAAAACCGAGACACAAAAUGACAAAAACAAGACAGGAAAUGACAUUUUAGUGAUAUCCAGUCAUUUUUAUUAAUAAGUGAUUGUUUCCAUAAUAAAUAAUUAUGUAAUUUGUAAAGACAUGAUCAUAAUGAACAUAACAUUUUUGCUUUUAAUAAAAAUGUAGGCAGAUAUAUCCUAAAGUCCUUCAGUUAUAUAUUGACCCACCAGGUGGCACAAAGAUAAAGUUUUUAUUAGUAAUGUUCUUUAAAUAAAGUAUAAAAGGUGGAACUGGUGGAUUUAUUGACUUAUAAUCGUUAUUGCUGUUGAUAGAAGAAAAGUUUUAAAUUUUAUUUCUGUGAAGGAGUCUGGAGCUUCUUCGGUCCGUGUAUUUAUCUGGCAAUUGGAUUUUCCGUUCUGAAACGGGUAUUGAAAAACAAAACGAAU
Molecule: long non-coding RNA, 13044 nt
Organism: Amphiprion ocellaris (clown anemonefish)
Lineage: Eukaryota; Metazoa; Chordata; Actinopteri; Pomacentridae
Source: Ensembl